UACAGAGGGGGCAAGCGUUGUUCGGAAUUACUGGGCGUAAAGGGCGCGUAGGCGGCCUUCUAAGUCGAACGUGAAAUCCCUGGGCUCAACCCAGGAACUGCGUCCGAUACUGGAAGGCUUGAAUCCGGGAGAGGGAUGCGGAAUUCCAGGUGUAGCGGUGAAGUGCGUAGAUAUCUGGAGGAACACCGGUGGCGAAGGCGGCAUCCUGGACCGGUAUUGACGCUGAGGCGCGAAAGCCAGGGGAGCAAACGGG
Molecule: ribosomal RNA, 253 nt
Filed under: uncultured bacterium
Lineage: Bacteria
Description: partial 16S ribosomal RNA
Rfam family: Bacterial small subunit ribosomal RNA
Source: RNAcentral